Molecule: transfer RNA, 73 nt
Filed under: Ardenticatenia bacterium
Lineage: Bacteria; Bacillati; Chloroflexota; Ardenticatenia
Description: tRNA-Arg
Rfam family: tRNA
About the family: Transfer RNA (tRNA) molecules are approximately 80 nucleotides in length. Their secondary structure includes four short double-helical elements and three loops (D, anti-codon, and T loops). Further hydrogen bonds mediate the characteristic L-shaped molecular structure. tRNAs have two regions of fundamental functional importance: the anti-codon, which is responsible for specific mRNA codon recognition, and the 3' end, to which the tRNAs corresponding amino acid is attached (by aminoacyl-tRNA synthetases). tRNAs cope with the degeneracy of the genetic code in two manners: having more than one tRNA (with a specific anti-codon) for a particular amino acid; and 'wobble' base-pairing, i.e. permitting non-standard base-pairing at the 3rd anti-codon position.
Source: RNAcentral
GCCCCGGUAGCUCAGCGGACAGAGCAGCGGCCUUCUAAGCCGUCGGUCGGGGGUUCGAAUCCCUCCCGGGGCG